This is an RNA transcript of Rhodamnia argentea, 783 nucleotides long. RefSeq lists it as uncharacterized. The record is from RefSeq and is a predicted model, not a curated record. Lineage: Eukaryota; Viridiplantae; Streptophyta; Magnoliopsida; Myrtales; Myrtaceae. The transcript is spliced from 2 exons.
ACAUGAUCAUUGGAAACAAUUAAAAUCGCCUCUUAGUCCCCGAAAAACACUUCAUAAACUGCCAAGAAAGAAGCAUCGAGCAUUUCCUGGACAACCAUGAAUGGAUUUGAUUCUGAAAGUCCAAAGCCAUGGAGCAUGUAUACGAAUUCAGAUCCCAGCUCAUCCCAAGCAACACUAGACAGGGAAGCUCCAUGGAAGAGCUUUGGAGCAUCAUUGAAUGCCAUAUCUUUUGGAUUUGUUGCCACAGCAAUUUUGAUAUCUUUGUUCCUUAUCUUGGCUGUCUUUGAACAUCUGUUCAGAGCCAGUCCCUCUUUCACUUCACCUGAACCCGUGAACAAUAGUUCUCUGGAAGCAGGAGAAGAGACGGAGAAGCUCCGCAAUCCACAGCUAGUGUUUCCGUCGUAUGCUUCAGACAUCCCGGUGCUAAUGCCGGCACAGCAUCGUCCCACCUACAUUGCUCAACCGGCUCCUCUCCCCUGUCCUAGAGAAGGGAUCAAUCGGCCUUAUCAUGAAGACAACUUCUCUUUUGCGAGUGUAUAGUUCCUGCCUAUCAGAACCAUCACUGAAUCUGCUUGUAUAUUGGGAAGUGCAUGAGAUUCUCAUUUUUGAACCACAUGUUUCACUUUAAACAACACCCCUCGCAGCAAAAAAGAAACAAGGUAAAUGAGUAGUUUAGCCUAAUGGAGAUGAACAGGAGCCGGGAGGUAAAUAUGGGAUCGUUUUCCAGUUUACGAUGUACGGUACACUGGCAUCAAUGAAAAUGAGCAGUGAACAGCUUGAUAA